This is a non-coding RNA of Apiosordaria backusii, 85 nucleotides long. The record is from the annotation of a GenBank genome assembly. Lineage: Eukaryota; Fungi; Ascomycota; Sordariomycetes; Sordariales; Lasiosphaeriaceae.
GGCCCGCUGGCCAAAUGGUAAGGCGUCAGAUUUCGGUUAGAGAGAUAACCUCUGAAGAUUGCGUGUUCGAGUCGCGCGUGGGUCG